Molecule: ribosomal RNA, 253 nt
Filed under: uncultured bacterium
Lineage: Bacteria
Description: partial 16S ribosomal RNA
Rfam family: Bacterial small subunit ribosomal RNA
Source: RNAcentral
UACGGAGGGUGCAAGCGUUAUCCGGAAUCACUGGGUUUAAAGGGUGCGUAGGCGGCUUAAUAAGUCAGAGGUGAAAGCUGGCAGCUUAACUGUCAAAUUGCCUUUGAUACUGUUGAGCUUGAAUCAGGUUAAGGUAGGCAGAAUGUGGCAUGUAGCGGUGAAAUGCAUAGAUAUGCCAUAGAAUACCAAUUGCGAAGGCAGCCUGCUGGGCCUGUAUUGACGCUGAGGCACGAAAGCGUGGGGAGCAAACAGG